ACUAUGGGGUAUUCCCUGGUUUCUUGUAAACUGGACGUCCAGCUAUUUGAAGGGAGCCCCGCUCCCGGAUGUUACCGGCGGACGGGUGGACCGUCGUAACCUGCCUGUAGACUGGGAUAACUCCGCGUUAAAAGGAGCUAAUACCGGAUAGUUCCUUGAACCGCAUGGUUCAAGGAUGAAAGACGGUUUCGGCUGUCACUUACAGAUGGACCCUCGGCGCAUUAGCUAAUUGGUGGGGUAAUGGCUCACCAAGGCGACGAUGCGUAGCCGACCUGAGAGGGUGAUCGGCCACACUGGGACUGAGACACGGCCCAGACUCCUACGGGAGGCAGCAGUAGGGAAUCUUUCGCAAUGGACGAAAUUCUGACGGAACAACGCCGCGUGAGUGAUGAAGGUUUUCGGAUCGUAAAGCUCUGUUGUUAGGGAAGAACAAGUGCGAGAGUAACUGCUCGCACCUUGACGGUACCUAACCAGAAAGCCACGGCUAACUACGUGCCAGCAGCCGCGGUAAUACGUAGGUGGCAAGCGUUGUCCGGUAAUUAUUGGGUGUUAAAGGGCUCGCAGGCGGUUUUCUUAAGUCUGAUGUGAAAGUCCCCGGCUCAACCGGGGAGGGUCAUUUGGAAACUGGGAAACUUGAGUGCAGAAGAGGAGAGUGGAAUUCCACGUGUAGCGGUGAAAUGCCGUAGAGAUGUGGAGGAUCACCAUGGCGAACGCUACUCU
This 720-nucleotide ribosomal RNA is filed under the name Bacillus pumilus. RNAcentral's name for it is "bacterial SSU rRNA". It matches the Rfam family "Bacterial small subunit ribosomal RNA", at positions 21 to 728 of the family's 1533-position model. Lineage: Bacteria; Bacillati; Bacillota; Bacilli; Caryophanales; Bacillaceae. The record is from RNAcentral.